Molecule: non-coding RNA, 27 nt
Filed under: Cricetulus griseus (Chinese hamster)
Lineage: Eukaryota; Metazoa; Chordata; Mammalia; Rodentia; Cricetidae
Source: RNAcentral
UCCAUACCUGGCUCUCUGGACAGAAGA